AUACGGAGGAUCCGAGCGUUAUCCGGAUUUAUUGGGUUUAAAGGGUGCGCAGGCGGCCAUUUAAGUCAGCGGUUAAAUCGUGGGGCUCAACCCCAUUCUGCCGUUGAUACUGGGUGGCUUGAUUGCGGUCGAGGUUGGCGGAAUUCGUUGUGUCGCGGUUAAAUGCAUAGAUAUGACGAAGAACACCGAUUGCGUAGGCAGCUGACCAGACCGCAAAUGACGCUCAUGCACGAAAGUGCGGGGAUCGAACAGGAUUAGAUACCCUGGUAGUCCGCACAGUAAACGAUGAAUACUUGUUUUCGGCGAUAUAAUGUCGGAGGCAAAGCGAAAGCGAUAAGUAUUCCACCUGGGGAGUACGCCGGCAACGGUGAAACUCAAAGGAAUUGACGGG
This 391-nucleotide ribosomal RNA is filed under the name uncultured bacterium. Its description in RNAcentral is "partial 16S ribosomal RNA". It matches the Rfam family "Bacterial small subunit ribosomal RNA", at positions 523 to 917 of the family's 1533-position model. The record is from RNAcentral.